Long non-coding RNA from Scaptodrosophila lebanonensis, 474 nucleotides. RefSeq lists it as uncharacterized. The record is from RefSeq and is a predicted model, not a curated record. The transcript is spliced from 2 exons. Lineage: Eukaryota; Metazoa; Arthropoda; Insecta; Diptera; Drosophilidae.
UCCUUAUAAAAAUAAACCAGUCUGCGUUUUCGAUGGCAUCUGUAGAAGAGAAUAUCCAGAUUUCUGCGCUGUUGCAUAUUUAAGCUGUCGAAAUGAAGAGCAAGGCAAACCUCCUAUUCGACAGAAAAGGCUAGGAAAGUGUGAUCGUAGGGCGCAUAGGUGCGUUCCGGGAGAUGCUUUUCGAUAUACAGGUUCACCACCAUCAGGAGCUAAUGAUGAAGGUGAAGGUGAAGGUGGAGGACAGGGUACCAGUACUACCCAAGAGCCAAAGGAAACAAAUGCCCCUGAAGCUUCACAGGAGCCAAGUACCCCUGCGCCACAACCAGAUGCUAGUUCCCGUUCAGGUGGAAAAGAAAAUCCUAAAGCUGAUAAAAUUCCUAAUGAUGAACAUGAAGAGGAACCAACCACACCAAAUCAAUUAGAAUAAGCAUUUAAAAAGAAGAGCUUUAUUAAACUGCACCCCAAAAUGUUUUA